UAUAUAUUGGUGUAUUAGAGCACAUAAAGUUUUGAUCUUUAAAGAAAUGGUGUGAUUCCAUUUUAUAUAA
RNAcentral lists this transfer RNA (70 nucleotides) under Belzebub intermedius. RNAcentral describes it as "tRNA-Gln". It matches the Rfam family "tRNA". Rfam says of the family: Transfer RNA (tRNA) molecules are approximately 80 nucleotides in length. Their secondary structure includes four short double-helical elements and three loops (D, anti-codon, and T loops). The record is from RNAcentral. Lineage: Eukaryota; Metazoa; Arthropoda; Malacostraca; Decapoda; Luciferidae.